RNAcentral lists this ribosomal RNA (491 nucleotides) under uncultured bacterium. RNAcentral's name for it is "partial 16S ribosomal RNA". It matches the Rfam family "Bacterial small subunit ribosomal RNA", at positions 29 to 506 of the family's 1533-position model. The record is from RNAcentral.
AGUGAACGCUGGCGGUAGGCCUAACACAUGCAAGUCGAACGGCAGCACAGUAAUGGCUUGCUCUUACGGGUGGCGAGUGGCGGACGGGUGAGGAAUACAUCGGAAGCUACUUUUUCGUGGGGGAUAACGCAGGUAAACAUACGCUAAUACCGCAUACGACCUACGGGUGAAAGCAGGGGAUCUUCGGACCUUGCGCGAUCGAAUGAGCCGAUGCGGGAUUAGCUAGUUGGGGGGUUAAAGGACCACCUAGGCGACGAUCCGUCGCUGGAAUGAGAGGAUAAGCAGCCAGACUGGAACUGUGAACCGGCCCAGGCGCACAGGGGUGGCAGCAGUGGGGAAUCUUGGAGAAGGGGCGGGAGCUUGUGCAAGACAGACCGCGUGGGUGAAGAAGGCCUUCGGGUUGUAAAGCAAUUUUGUUGGGAAAGAAAGGCAGCAGGUUAAUACCCCGCUGUUCUGCCGGUACCGAAAGAAUAAGCACCGGCUAACUUCGU